Molecule: long non-coding RNA, 518 nt
Organism: Phymastichus coffea
Lineage: Eukaryota; Metazoa; Arthropoda; Insecta; Hymenoptera; Eulophidae
Exons: 4
Source: RefSeq, a predicted model, not a curated record
CGCUAACUAUGAGUAAACAAAAUACAGUUUGUUUAUGCUAUAGCAUAAAAGCAGCAAGAUACGAGAUAACUUCUUGUUUAACGUCGACGCGAUUGUUGUUUUUUAAUAAUUGUGCUAUUGUGGUGCUAUUAAGUAGCUUGAAGAACUUACCACCAAGUCGAGAGCGACUGCAGCACCCUCAGUAUAAUUCCAACUUGUUACAUCUUGCUUUACAUCACAAUAUGGACCAAUAGCUUGCGACAUUAAAACUCUAUUUAAGUCUGCUCUUUGAUAAACCCAGCAAUGGUAUUUACUGCCAACCUAUAAAAUAGAGAGUUAUUUAGAACAUUUAUAAACAAUGAACAUUCAAAUUACGAAGAGAUGUACGCACUGUAAAUAUCUACUGGACGUCCCAGAUGAUCGACGGACAGACAUAAAUAUUUGGUCGAGGCGUGUCUGUGACACCACCAAGAAUUCUAGUUUCAAAAAGAACGUCUCCUUUUUGCUGGAAACUAAAUUUACCAGCAACUGGACAUCGC